AAUCAACGCUGGCGGCGUGCCUAACACAUGCAAGUCGAACGCGAGAGGGGCUUCGGCCCCGAUUGAGUGGUCGAACGGGUGAGUAACACGUGGGUGACCUACCUUCGAGUGGGGGAUAACGUCCCGAAAGGGACGCUAAUACCGCAUAACAUUCCGCUUUUGAACAAGUGGAAAUCAAAGCUGGGGAUCGUAAGACCUAGCGCUUGAAGAUGAGCCCGCGUCCGAUUAGCUAGUUGGCGGGGUAANAGCCCACCAAGGCUCCGAUCGGUAGCCGGCCUGAGGGGCGGACGGCCACACUGGAACUGAGACACGGUCCAGACUCCUACGGGAGGCAGCAGUGGGGAAUUUUUCGCAAUGGGCGAAAGCCUGACGCAGCGACGCCGCGUGAGGGAUGACGGCC
This 400-nucleotide ribosomal RNA is filed under the name uncultured bacterium. Its description in RNAcentral is "bacterial SSU rRNA". It matches the Rfam family "Bacterial small subunit ribosomal RNA", at positions 32 to 416 of the family's 1533-position model. The record is from RNAcentral.